RNAcentral lists this long non-coding RNA (1179 nucleotides) under Anas platyrhynchos platyrhynchos (common mallard). RNAcentral describes it as "lncRNA (ENSAPLG00000027597.1)". The record is from RNAcentral. Lineage: Eukaryota; Metazoa; Chordata; Aves; Anseriformes; Anatidae.
CCCGUCCACACUAGGGGAGAUGAGCAGGACACUUGCACAGCAGCCCAGAGGCUUUGCCCUCACCUAAGCCCCCAUAUACAACAUGCUGGGCACUCUCAGGGGAAACUGUUUAGGCAAUAUGCAGCUUCCCCCAGCUUCAAACUGGCUCAAAAAAAUAAAAAUAUCCCCUGAAAGCCUCCAGUUUUGCUAUCCUAGGAACACUCUUGAGUUAAUAUGGGCUUCAGCUUUUCAGUCUUUAUUCUAAUGCCUUUCAGGUUCACUGAAUCUAAGCCAUACAGGAUUUUUACGAAGUGUUAAUGGGCUGCAGUGACUCUAUAUAAUCCAGCACUGGCUGGUGAGUUAUCACACCCCAUUGUCACUUCAUUAGUUGGCAGCUUGGGAGAACACAGGUGCCUUCUCUGUGCUCGGCAGCACGAGGUCGGUCACACCAGCAGACGGCCCAGAAAAGCACCCACGGUCUGGUGGCUGCCCAUGCCUAGGAUCAGGACUGAGAGUCCUCCAUACAUCAUGUCAUCGCUGGACCGCAACAGGGGAAUUCGCCUGAUUCUCCCCAGCAGCUUGUUCAGUAGUACACCCAUCAACUGCUCUGACAAAUCUACCUCUACAUAUGUCUUGUCUCAGGCUUUCAGCAAACACCUGGACUUUUGGUUUUGGGAACAAACCUGGGAAGAGUGCUGAGAAACAGCCAGUUCCCUGUUUGGUGGAGGUAAAGCAGAAUACAGCCAGUAUAUCUGAAAGGUUGGACACAUCUUCUGUUUUAGGUAUCACAAGAGCAGUCCAGAGAAACAUCUAGAAGGAAUUUCAAAGCCCUAAGAAGGGUUCUGAGAAUCAGGAUUACCUCUCAACAAUGUAAAAUACAAGGGAAAACAAACAUAUGCAGCCAACAAGGUGAAGCUCCAUUGGCAAACAGUUAUGCCCCGAGCCUUAUUUUCAAAAGCAUGUGCAUGUAAUGGUGUGUGCAAGAGUGAACAAUCGACAGUAUCCUUCGUUUAUAUGACUUCCCAUGCUUGCAUCUUGCAGCCAUGGUAUCUGUGUGCCCACCUGAAGGAGCACGGGCAGGUGGCGGCUGGGGGAGCGCCCAGCCCACCGCUGAGACCCCCCGAUCCCAGGAGAAUGGCACUGCGUAUGCUCAGCACAGCAGGUGAAGCCAGGAAGAGUAAAGGGAGUAUAAUCACAAAA